RNAcentral lists this ribosomal RNA (253 nucleotides) under uncultured bacterium. RNAcentral describes it as "partial 16S ribosomal RNA". It matches the Rfam family "Bacterial small subunit ribosomal RNA", at positions 524 to 776 of the family's 1533-position model. The record is from RNAcentral.
UACGUAGGGUGCAAGCGUUGUCCGGAAUUAUUGGGCGUAAAGAGCUCGUAGGCGGUUUGUCGCGUCUGCUGUGAAAACUCGGGGCUUAACUCCGGGCCUGCAGUGGGUACGGGCAGACUAGAGUGCGGUAGGGGAGACUGGAAUUCCUGGUGUAGCGGUGAAAUGCGCAGAUAUCAGGAGGAACACCGGUGGCGAAAGCGGCGGACUGGACCUCUUCUGACGCUGAGGCGCGAAAGCUAGGGGAGCAAACGGG